Long non-coding RNA from Chiroxiphia lanceolata (lance-tailed manakin), 6874 nucleotides. RefSeq lists it as uncharacterized. The record is from RefSeq and is a predicted model, not a curated record. The transcript is spliced from 2 exons. NCBI's taxonomy places the organism in Eukaryota, Metazoa, Chordata, Aves, Passeriformes, Pipridae.
GAGAUCAAGGAGCCAGAAGACUUUGCAGGUAAAAGACAUGAGAAUCCUCAAAAUGAACUUCCCUGACAUUAUCAUUAUGUUGAAAACUUCAUUGUGAUUAUUUUUGUAAGCCAGUGUCUUUACUACUAAGCUGUGUCGUAAAUAUGAAUGCAAGUAACUUCUCCAGUUAGUCAGCUUUAGAUCAUUUGCUGGUUUUAAAGUCCUUCCAGCUACUAUACAACAGGAUAUUUCAAACUUGGAGGCUGGAAAGACAGGAGAGUUUAGUAGGUUUUUUUGCCAGUAAAGCAUGAGAAUGUCUUUUAGAAAUAACACCUGUUCUCAAAGAAUUUAAGAGUAAUUACUGAUAAAAUACCAUUAAUUUUUGGGAUGGUAAACUCCCCCCCCCCCCUUAGUGAACUUAUGAAAAAGAAUCAUAAAGCUUGUAAUGCCAGAGGUCAUAAUUGAGGCAUUUCAAAAGGGUUUUCUUUUUGCUAUAUAGCUAAUUUGUAUUUAAUUUAAAGCCAGAUUAGAGUUUAUGACUAGUGUAUCCGAAAUGUUUGAUUGACAGGCCAAAGAAAUAAUUAUUUUUUCAAGGUCUAUAAAUACAAAAACUGUACUUCAAAGUAUGCACAGAUGAACUUGAAGCAUAGGGAAAUUGGGAAGGGAUGCCAGUGUAUCAGUGAAAUAAUAAGGUUACCAGGAUAGUUGAUUCUUAGUUUAUAGGUGUUAUCUGAUCGGUGUUUUGGCUCUGUGUGUGUCUGUCCUUCUCUGUGCCCCUUCUCCUCCCCCAGGAUGUGUAUACAUAGGCAUUAUAUUCUGAUUCUGCCUGAAUAGGUGGUACAGCUGCAUGGUGUGGUGGCAGCAUUUCCUGAUAAUAGGGUUAUAUAACUUUAGAUGUUUAGUGGCUUGAAGGCACUGUACUUUUGGUACAAUGGACAAAUCAGAAGCCGUCUUAUAAUUACAUGGCUUGAAAUACUGUUCUUUCUUUUUAAGUACCAUCCACAUAGUAAAAGAAUAAAAAAUGAAAUGCUACAGUUUGUGACGUUGAUAUAAAACACAGCAAGUUUCCUUAGUUAUGCCUUCUCUGAAGUUGCUUUUGCUACCACUGUCCAAAAAUUCUGGUGUAUAGGAGAACAGUCUCUAUUGUCAAGAACUAGAAAUAGUGAUCACCUACCAAAGCAGCUUGAGGCGUUCAGGGAAGCUGUAACAGCACAGUCUGGUUAGUACAAGAAGAUAACCCUUAAUCCCAAAAGGAAUGUGCCAGCAUUUUCAACAGAGUGGCAAAAUAUUCUUAGCAAGAUUGAUACAAGCCUGCAUCAUCUAGGUGUUAGUAGUCAAAAAUACGUGAGUGAGAAAUGUCAGUCUUGCAGCAAGCACUUAUGCCACGAGAAAAAUCUUUGCAGAAGUAUCUUUUAAUUCUGUAAUUACAUUCUAAAUUAUUCUUCUGGUUCUAAAGUAUUUUAAUCAGGGACUUUUCAUCUGUAGUUUCAAGGUCACACAAGUGCUGUGUAAUGUGCAAACCUAAGACAUCAUACAUGCAGGACAGAGUUGCCCAACACUCUAUUUCUCCUGUUCUGGAAGUUUUCCUGUAAUUCCUGAAGUUGACUUUUUUGUGAGGUAGUGAGAAGGAAUUUGAAGCUGCUCAGGAAAACAAACCCCUCAUUCUUACCCUAGCUACUAAUGUUUUAGGGGGGAAUUAAUUAAACAUGGCUGCCUUUUUUCAGCAUUCCUUUCUCAAGGCAUAGUACACAAUCACUUUGCAUGUAUGUAUAUGAUAUGAAAGCCUGGUAUUGUUAUGAAGUUGGCCAUCUGUUUUGGAGAUGGACUACUUCAUUGAGUAUGAAAUGGUAAAGUGGUGACCACCAUAAUUCUGAUGUUGUGAUACAAAUAUUUAUUGAAGUGCCUUAGUUGCUGAAAUAGAUGGGAAUUGGUUACCUAGAUAGUUUUAAAGUUGUGCUCAUUUGUAUUUACUCUUUGUCAACAGUUGUACAAUGUCAAUAGUAUGUAAUUCUGGUGUAAAAUUAUUUUCUGGGUUUAAAACCCUUUAUUGUGACAUUUUCACUUAUAUUUCCAUCACAUUAAUUUUGGCAAAAGUAGUUUUUUUCACAUCAGAAUAGGUAUGCAUCAAUACUAUAAAUGCACUUUUUGGUUUAUUUCCAUAACUUGAAAUUUUUUUCCUAGUGACAAGUUGAAAUUCUAUAUUUAUGCAUGCAUUUGCUCUUUAACUAAAGCUGGGGAUGAACAGUGUGGUAGUGGCUUUCUGGCAGACAACUGUACACUGUUAAAAAAUGAACAUGCGUAUCACCAUCUCCAAACAGAAUAAGAAAUUACACUCAAAAUGUGUAAUUUCUUGUAUGUUUGAUGGAAUCAGUAACUGAAUCAUGUAGUUAAGCACAUGAAAUUUGAACUCUAUAGCAUAUCAACUAAUAUAAUAAACAUCAACUACAUAAAAUAUCCACUAGUUUUAUCAUGAAGGCACUUUUAUUUAAAAGCAAAGCAGCAAUAAACGUAGAUACUGGGCUCGGUCCUUAUUUGUGAGCACUGAUUCUCUAUGUGUAAAGGAAUCAAGUCAUCUUAGCCUGAGGAAAGCCUGAGGAAAAUGAAAACGAGAAAACAAUACACCUCACCCUGCCUUCUGCCAUCCAAGGUGCGUAACAAAGUGAAAUCUGAACAUGUUGUUGCUGCAAACAGUUUCUUGAUUACUACAGUUCAUUUAGGAUAUAUAAACCCAGUCAUGACAGGUACAGCUAGAGGACUUACUAAAUGGAAGAGGUGUUUAGCUAGAGAAUAAGGUAAUAUAUUGGCAAAGUUACAAGCAAACCCUUAUGUUCAUAACUGCUUGUCAGCUUAGUGCAGUUUUUGGAUACUGUUCAUGUACGUUUAAGCAAAUAUGACUGCAAUACAAUAUUUAUGCAAAUAUAAUACAGGAUUCUAUUUAAAUAUUUCAUUUUCUAGCUACUGAAAUUGUCCAUUUUCAGCAGAUUUUGUUCCAUUCUUUGAAACUGGUCGUUUGUUGUCCGGCACUCUAGAAUUAGUGCUUGUUCCUGUUACAAUUUUAAAUAUACAGCCUCAGUGAAAUUUUUGAGCAACACACAAAAGCCUUUAGGUAAAGGGACUUUUUCCCCCUUAAUAAAACCCCCCUCUUAGAAUAGCUUUGUUAUCUCACUUCCUUAGUAGCAUCAAAUUCUUCCUCCUCAUCCUCGUCUUCCUCAUCCUCAUCUUCCUCCUCUUCUUCUUCAUCUCUUCUUAGCAUACUGCGUGAAAUCUGCCAAAACAAAAAUCCAGCAGAAGUAAAUCAAGUGUUUUUUCUCCUCAAAGAAAAACAAUUAUCUGUUGGCAUUUCCAGUCUAAAUAUUAAUAGUUUUUUGUUUGGGGGAGUGCAUAAGUUGUUUGUCCCUUAACCCUUCAUAACGUGCAAGCCAAUGAAAAGAUACAUGGCACAGAAUAAAAAUACUGUAAUGAUUUUUAAAAGCUAAAAAAAUCCCCAUAGUCAUGACAACUGUUAUAGGAUUGGGAAAACUAUACUUUGAUCCAAUUAAUGCUAAAAAUCCACAAGAUGUUUGUUCCUGGGUUGGCUGUUGAGGCAGCAGGCUGAAGAUGAAUAUUAAGGCCUAAUCUUAUCUUGAAGACAUCAGACCUCCAGUUAAAAGUUCAAAACUAUGCUGCUCUAGGUUGUUGUUUUUUUGAGAAUGAAUUAGACAAACUAUUAAAAGUCUUCAUUCACAGAUGAACAACUUUCUGUGCCCAUCAGUGCUUGCCCUUCAGAAUGACAUUAGUCUCCUUUCUUUGGUUCAUGAAAGAUUAAAAACAAGUGGCAGCUGCCAAGCUUUCAUCUCAUCUGACAGAUUCUGCAAUCUGUACUUUUUUCUAAUGAGGGUUCAAUCUAAUUCCUAUUGAAGAUAGAUCCUUCACAGACAAUGCAACAUUUACAAUUUAAUGUAGGAUAUAUGGCGUUCUUUUUCUUUCCCCAUGAGAAAGAGAACAUUAGUUAUCCAAGUCAUCUGGAAUGCUUUUGAAAAAUGAUUUCAGGUUCAGCCGUUCUUUAAGAGCAUCUGCAGCUCUAAUUUUGGUUAUAUUUUCUGUGUUUUCUCACAUACAGUGAUAUAAUAAAACUUCUGUAUUGAAGACAGAACUUGCCUUUUUUUUUUAAAAGCCCCCUAUUUUAAAAGUCCUUAAAUGCUCAUUAUUAAAUUGACUUCUGAGAUGUUAGAAUUCAUACAGCCAUGUAUGUAACACAAGAUUUUUGUGUCUGCAUAAAGCAAACUGCAGUCAUUGAACUAAUGAAAGCAGAAAAAUCUUUAGUCUUGUUGAUGCUCAAAAAGUACAUAAUUUAGCUUCAAGCAAAUGCUUACAAAUUCCUGAACGUAAUAGAAAAUGCAGUUAAUCAUUGGAUGAAGCUGGGUUAACUUGAGCUGAAAUGCCUAAAACAGCAAUCUCUCAUUCUGUGAAAGAAAAAAAAGACAAUGGCACUGAUUUGUAAUUACUGAUAAAGGAAUGCUGCAGAUUGACCUUGUUAAGGUAGUGUCAUUUCAAUGGGAUAGACUAAUUUUCCUGGUUUUUUUCUAGUUAAGAGUAUCUCAAAUUCUUAAACAGAACUUGCAUCAUAUUUCUGAAGAAAAGCUCCCCCUUCCCCUUCCUGAAAUAAGAGGUGUUGGUUUUGGCUUUAUGGUGUUUUUGUGCUCACUACUCAAAUACCUCUGACUGUGCUGUAAGUAACUAAAUAGUAUGUUAAAUAUUAUCACUGACAGUGGUAAGGAAAUUAGGCAGUUUAAAUCCACAUUAUUGUGCCAUAGAGCUAGAACUUGAAAAUUUAAUUUUUGAUUACUUCAUGCUGAAAAAAUUUAAAAUAAUAAUAAUAAAAAAAUCUGAUAGUUUGUUGUUCAUAAAUAAUUUUAUGUGAAGAUUAAUUCUAUGAGUUUGCAUGUAGGUGUGAUGACUGUUCUUGCUUAAGCUGUUCAGUUCCAUGUUUCACUGCAGGUGUUACUAGAGAAAGCAUGGUAAUCCUCUCCUCAUGUCUUGGGCACUGGGCAGUUUUGGAGCGUUCAGAUGCAGACAUUUUCAAUAACUGUUAGAAUGAUACUUUGCUGUCCUAGAGAGUCAGUGCAAAACAGUUUGUUAUAUUAAGUGCAUGUAGAUAAAACUUAUGUAGUUAAGUUUGAUUUAAAAUAUCUAGAAAAUGUCAUUUUCUUCUGCUAUAUUCUAAAAGUACAGCAUAUACCAACUUGAUUCAGUAAAACAAAAUGAUAGGCUUAAUUGCCAAGUAAAGUGCAAAAUGAAGGAGGUAGCUCUUUGUGAAACAAUGUAUCAAGCUCGAGGACUACUUUAGAUUUUUAACACACAAAUAAUACAGAAAGUUAGUCCACAGAACCAGAAAUAAAUUCAAGGAUGGUAUGCCUUAAAUCUUCUGAAAGACCUGAAACUGUGUUUUUGGCACAGUUUAUCCCAUCUGGUAUGCAGUGACUUCCCCCACGUCCCCCACCUACUGGUUAGUGUUGGCAUGUAUGUGUCUGUCCGUCCUCCCCCACCUCACAGCCCUAGGCACAGUGAUUCUGUGAACUGCUUACCAUAUUGUUUAUACUGCUUUGCACUGGAAAUUGUAAAGUGCUGCCUUACAGUUAGUAAGGGAUUACUAUGUAGCAGGAAACUAGACUUGUGAAAAAUUUGGGAGUGAAAGAUCUCCAGGAAAGAGAAAACAAGUCACCUGAAGGUUUUUCUGAAUACAGCUUUUUUUUUCUCUCGUGAGAUGUUUGGUGGGUUCCAGAGACUAGAGCCCUUAGUGUAAUUCAACAGCAUGCUGUUUGCAGAAUCAGAAAGGGCACAUGGGGAGUGAAUGGAACAGGCUGCCUGCCCCUUCUUCACUGCCCUGUAGUGACUGCAUUAGUAGGAUGUUCCACCGCUAUUCUUCUGCCAUAUGAUCCUCUGCAGAUACACUGCACAGCCAAGUGAGACAACAUUAUUUUGAAAUGUAUUGCAGUUUCCCUCUAGGUCUAGAUGACUUCCUCUUCUUUUCAGAUAUUCCAAUGAGAUGUUACGAGAACAUCAACAUCUGAAGUCAUAACUAAGAGAGAGGUCUAGGUAAACUUGCAAGUUAGUCAUAAUGGAGUUCCACUCCAUCUCUGGGAGAAAUCAGUGUACAUACACUCAGUUUCCUGUUGCUUUGGUUUUUUUUUUUCACAUUUUCUAAAGUAGCUUGAACACGAAAUUUGCUUGUUUGAUAGAGAAGACUGGUGGGUUACUCAGAGUCCAGGUUGUAUUUCAUGCACUGAAUCACUGGGUUCUUUUAUCUUUUCAGAUGACUUAACUCACUUUCAACAGAAUAGCUCAACUGUAAUAAUUGAUCCUUUCUGCGUUGCGAAGGUGUAAAGUGUAUUUCCUCAUAUUUGGAUUAUGUAUGUUCCUGUGUAACCUGCUCUAGGUGACCCUGUCUUGGCAGGGGAGUUGGACUUGAUGAUCUCCAGAGAUCCCUUCCAACCCCAACGAUUCUGUGAUUCUGAAAUAUUCAUGAAUGCCACAAGAUUUGCAUUUAAGUGAAUAUUAAAUGUUGCUAAUCUUGCCCAAGACUUAACUAUAGUAAUUUUAUUAUGCAAGAUAAAAUUGAUAUCACAUACUGAAAUGUGAGCACACGUACUUUGAUAUCCUUUAUCUUCUGUUUCUCAAAAUUAUCAAUAGUUUCCUCUAAUUGCCGCGUUGUUCGAGUAGCAUCCAGUGUCGCUCUCUGCAGUUCACUUUCAGCCUGGUAAAGUAACACAGAGGUGAAAUUAGUCUUGUAUUUGAUACAAAGCUAUUUGCUCCAAGUGCCAUGAAAACAUCGAAGUCUGGGUUUUCAAAACACUACAUAUCUGUGUUACAGUAUUUGUAAAUCUGUCGCUUAAUAAACAUAUAAAGAUGCCUCCUA